UGUAGUGACGUUACGGUAUGUAUAUAAUGCGAGCUGCGCUGCUUUCUUCCCACAGCUGUCUCCUCUCAUCUUAAUUCGUGUUGUAUGAUUGGUAGAACUGUUAUACUCUUCAUUUUGCGACAACAUGUGCAUGCAACGUUUCCACCAAAGGAUUUUCGCAUUUUUGGAAUGAUUCAACAUGAACUCUGUGAAUUAUUAAAAUCUAUUUUGAAAUGCUUAUCCGCUGGAUUUGUUUACAAGGCUGACGUUUUUGUUUAAAUGUAUAUACUUGCAUAGGCAUUUGGACCUCAUAGUACAAUCUACAUGACGACGCAUGUCGCGCAUUUUGUUGCACAGACAUGUAUAAACACAAAGUGUGUGGUGUUUUAAGUGUUUACAAUGUUUUAGAUGGAACAUAAUAAAAUGUCGGUUCAAUUUCAGUAUAUGUUUUAUUUGUGGUUCAUCGGAUUAUAAUUGUAAUUGUUUUGUAAACUGUGCCCAGAUUAACGAGAUGCUGUGAUUAACGCACCAUUUUUGCUAUUUAUUAUACUGGAUUAUGCAUAAUCGCCUGUCUCUGCAAGGGGAUCACCCUCUUUUGUUGUUCGAAAAUAAUCGAUUUGAAUGCAAUUGGCAUUACCGGUAUUUUAGGCCCGUAAAAGGUGACGAUCCGUAAUUAUUACCGAUUUUUAAAUAUUUUGUGCAUAUUUUAUUUAUAGAGGUUCUCAAAAAAAAUAAAUAUGCUAUUGGACAUUACAAUAAAAAAAAUGAGCAAUACAACUUGUUUUGAGCUUAAAUACAGUGUCCUCCAAGUCAAUUGUGUUUACAAACAAUCAGUUUAUUUACAUCGCUGUUUACUCAAUCAUGCCGAGCGAUUGCGAGCCGGUUUUCUCGCUUUUUUCUUUUAAUUGGUCGGCCCAAUACAUUGUGUAUCACGUGCAACGUUGCAAUUACAAUCAAGGCAAACGUGAAAUCAAGAAAAUGAAACAUAUAUUAAAACAAGUAUGCAUGAUAGAUAUACUUUUAUUUUCUACAGCAAAAAAUGUUACCUAACUCAUGUUCUCUUUCUUUGUUUACGAGGAUAUCGUGUUGUUUGUACCACGUCAUCAAUAUAUGCGUACUUUACGAAAGAAGCCGAAGAACAUCGGAGAUAGCGAAAAUGUACGGAAAAGUUAUUAACAUUUCUUCAAAUUAUGAAACGGGUAUAUCUUCCAUAAUUUAUGACAACGUUGCUCCUAAGCUGUUUUAUUAUCAUUUUUUAUGAAAGAGUAACUGAAAUCCGGUAAAAAGUAGACCAGUUUAUAUGCAUAAUAUUUGGAUUUGUCACCUUUUACGAGCCUUUAAGAAGUACACAUGCCUUGCGUUAUCGUCAAACAUAUGUUGGGUUUUAGACUGGUCGACGCUUUGAGAUGUCCACGCAGUUAUGUUUGUUCUAUUAAGUCUGCUUUAGUCUACCUAUUUAUCUGUGUUUGGAUGUAGGUGUGUUUGUUUCAAUAGUUUUCCAUCCAAGCUACAUAUCUCACAUGCCUAUUUCACGUAUUAUUAACAGGUGAUAACCUACACGAUUCAUCAUCUACUUACCUGUUGAGCACGCACUAUGUUCAACGUAAAUGUUGCGCAUGAUUGAGUUUGAUUUUCUCUUAAUCUGUUGUGCACGCUUUGUUUUCUACUGUUGUGUAUCUUCUAUUAAAAUGUUCUUCGCCAUGUAUUUUGUUACAUAUUAUUAUGCACGCUAUAUAUUUUACUUAUCAGUUUAUACCAAUCUGUUUGUACGCUUUAAUGUUGUCGAAUCUGUUGUAAUCGCUAAAGUUUACACUAUGUGCACGCUUUUUUUUAAAACCUGUUGUGUACGCUUGCUUUUUUAUAGGCCAACGUGUAUCGUCUGCUUAUGGAAUAAUUGUAUGGAAUUUUGUGUGGAGGUAGAAUACACGUAGAACUAGCUUGUAAUUAAAUGUGGACCUGUUACGUCAAGGACACUGUAACCAAAGAUGGUUUCCAUUCCAUUACUUGAAGUUGUAUGACGCUAUUGCGUUGAAAUUGUGUGUGUAUGUUGCUUAUGUGUAUACCUAGCGAAGGAUUUCGUUUAGGAGCAGUCAGGUUCAGGUGGAGGUAAAAAUAGAAAGAAACGGUUUUUAACCAGGUUUUCCGAAGGAAAAAACUGGUUAUUAGAUUGGCGAAUGCGGGCGGGCUGGCUGGCUGGCUGGCGGGCUGGCGGGCGGGCGGGCGGAACAAGCUUGUCCGGGCCAUAACUAUGUCGUUCAUUGUCAGAUUUUAAAAUCAUUUUGCACAUUUGUUCACCAUGAUUGGACGGUGUGUCGCGCGAAAUAAUUACGUCGAUAUCUCCAAGGUCAAGGUCACACUUUGAGUUCAAAGGUCAAAAAUGGCCAUAAAUGAGCUUUUCCUGGCCAUACCUAUGUCAUUCAUUGUGAGAUUUUAAAAUCAUUUGGCACAUUUGUUCACCAUCAUGGGACGGUGUGUCGCACGAAAGAAUCACGUCAAUAUCUCCAAUGUCAAGGUCGCCACGACUAAAAAUAGAUUUAAAAAAAAACAAACUUACAAAGAGGGUUAAUUUUGUUUGUUCAUUUCAAAAGUUCAGUUUGAGUUUUCUCCCUUUAUCAGUUUUUUUUUUCACAAUGAAAACCUGGUUUUGUAGCAAUUUUGUCCCUUGUUGCUCUUUAACUUGAGUUAAGAUGAGUAUAUAUUGCGCUUAAACUGUGUGGUUAAGAAGCUUCUUUUCAUUAAGUUUGCGAUUUCUUCCGGGGUCAGUUGGGUCAAGUUAAAGGUAACUGUUUCUCAAUAAAAGAAAAAUCGUGCCCUCUCGAUAGCUAGAGAUUUUAUUCUGAAAUUGUGUAAGUUGGUAGCUUACACACAGACCUAUGUUGGGUCUGCAUUUAGGACCAGUUGGAUCAAGGUCAAGGUUACUGUUCAUUUAACAAGAAUAUAUGUUUUCCACUUAAUAACUUAAUAGCGAUUAUAUUAAAUUCAAUUAUUAUUUUUAACAUUGAAAACCCAAGUUGUGUGGCUUUGUCAUGUGUCUUUUGUAAACUUUACUUUAGCCUACAAGCACAGUGUUCUCUACGGGUGUCUUUGUGCCUUCUGUCUGUGUACUCUACGGGUGUCUUUUUUCCAUCUGUUAAGGUAACCAUGCCACUAACAUAUGACGGUGAUUGUCGUGGUGCCUAUUAGUAAGAAGGGAUCGUUGCAGCAUCGAUAAAUCAAUUUUGAAAUCAAUCCAAUAUACAUUGCGAUUGUAUUUAAACAUGGCACCAGAAAAAAUAAUACGGGCAUAAACCAUCUUUAAAGAGAUAUUCAAAAAGAAUGAAAAACAUAUUAACGGGUUAAUGUCGAUACAAAUAACUUUGCUGCUAGGUCAUGGAUACUGUAUUACAUUUUCUGUUAUUGAAUUAAGUAAUCAUAAUAAUACCAUUGUUCAACAUAUUCUGAAUUACAAGGUAUGCUGAAAUGUUAGGCGUUUACAUAUUUAAAUGAAAGGCAGAUGCAUUUAAUAACACAACAUGUAUUAAUAUUUCGUUUUAAUUGGUCCCAUCACAUCUGGUAAGCACACAUUUAAGGAAGAAAUGAUCUCAAUUUAUAGAGUAAACUAUUUUAGUUGUAUUGUUAGUUCGAGGCUUGCAACUUACAUUUAACGUUGUGUUUCGAGAUAAGUAAGUUAAUAUUCAAAACAUUAAGCUAUUUGAUAUUUAAUGAAGUCUUAUUGUGUAAUUCAGUGACGUCGUUUGACUUAAGUUACUGGAUAUGAAAUGCUACGGACCACAUUUGAAAAAAAGCAUCCUUAGUAUGUGACAUGGAUUAGCAAAUAUAACAUAUUAUGUUCAAGGUAAGGCAUGUUUCGUAUAAUCGCAUCUGUUAUACAAGCGGGCGACAUAUCAUACGCAUUUUUUUUAUUUAACAAUUUAAGAAAAUUGGCUUACUUAUUUUAUUUCGCAUAACUGCAACUAAUUGAAGUGCUUCAAACUCGGCAAUGAUGAUAAUGGUGUUUAAAGUACCGGCAAAUGCAUAAGUAGUCCUGACUGCAAAUAUUAAAUAAAUUUAAUAUGAAUUAAACUAUCCUAAUUUAAUGACAAUUAACUGUGCAAUGACAUUCUUGUCGAUAUUGUUUCUAUUAUAAACAAAUCGGCUUUGAGGUGCCUAAGAUCUUUCUGCAUCACUGUUUAGAUGGCUGAAGGUGGCGCCAGACGUGAUGAACCAGGAGGAUUCCCUAGACAGGACAGAACGUGCAACCAACAGGCCCUAAUGGCUGAAGGUGGCGCCAGACGUGAUGAACCAGGAGGAUUCCCUAGACAGGACAGAACGUGCAACCAACAGGCCCUAUGGGACAAUGCCUCCGUAGAGACAUGCACGGUGAUGACCUGGCUCGGGUAUGGACCGGAGAUCAGACAGGCACGGAGAGAUGCAUACAUGGAAUAUUGCAGGCAUUGUACUGCACGGCUCAGAGGAGCGGCAACGUGUAUUAUAACUGGAAGCAAGGCUGAGGGGCUGACCUCCUUCCUGGAAAGUGAUAGGGAUCAAAUGUUGUAACUAAAAGUGUUAUAUGUUUAGAAGACGGUGUUAAUGCUAGUAAAUUUCCAAGGGAGAUAACCGUGUUAAAGUCAUGCAGCCGUAUGAGUUACCCCGGACACUGUAGGCUGCUACUAGUGAGACGCGGAACAACGAUUCAAUCGAACGUAAACGAUGCGUUAUGUGAUGAUGGAUUUGGUCGCUGUAAACUUCUCAGCAGUGACUUAUAUGUGAAUACCUGGACAAACACUGAACUUCAGAAAGGCGAGGUGCAGCAUGACCGUGUGGGACCGUCAAUACCAAUUUCAUUUUGCCGAACAUUACACGCAGACUAUUUACAUGCAUUACGUUACGACUGUCCCAACAUCCUGUUAAAAUGGGCCUCAAGACCUCGCCACUGGCCGCCAUCGGAAGCCGUUUAUCAAGUCAUAUCACUUGGAGCAUUUCUUUCGCCUGUUGGAUUUAAAGGCAUUGAUUAUCAAGGUGUUGAAUGGAGAGUAUGCUUAACGCCGGGGAGAUCAAACUUGUAAACAGUCUUGAUGACACUCAAAUUAAACUGUAUGUUUUAUUGAAAAUGGUAAAGAACGAUGUAUUAAAUCCACGUCAAAAGGAAUUUUUAUCUUACACGUUGAAAAACAUUGUAUUUUGGAUAGCGGAAAAUAAUCCUCAAUUCACGUUUCAUGAAAGAAGUAUGUUGUACUGGUUGCACGAAGGAUUGAAUGCGUUAAAAGUGUUUUUGGUCACCCGAGAGCUGCCAUAUUAUAUUAUAUAAGACAGAAAUCUGAUGGCAGCCUGUGGGCUUGAGGAUAAACAACAGCGUAAAUCGAUAUCAACGAUUACAGAAAUGAUGAAUGAAGGUCUAAGGAUGAUACUAAGACUUCCGAAGAUACGACAAGCCAUUAUUGCACAUCCUGAACCACUCAGAUGGUACAUCAAGAGGAAAAUUGAGCUGGAAUUGCUGAUGCUUAUGCAAUUGAACAUUAUUCCCUUCUGCAAGGAUUAGACCGGGGUAUUUAACAUGUCUGAUGAAGUUAAGGAUGAAUUACCGAGGCGCAUAAACAUGAUUGUGGGGGAGGUUUGCCAGAGGAUGAUUAUGGAAGGGAAUGUAGUUAACAACCCGAAUGAGGUUGUAAAGAAGAUGUUGAUGUAAAACGAUUACAUUUAUCAAUUAUUCACUAAGCACAAAUAACAUUCAUUGAUAAAUUGUGAGAACGUUCACCCAUUGAAGUAUAAAAGAGCAGUGUGAAGACGAAAAUACUUACUGAAAAAAAAAAGAUGAAUGUAGGUAAUUAGUAUGUGUUUAGUAUUUGAUGUUUAUAUUGUUGACGUAGUUUGCAAAUGGUGUCCAUUUCGAGCAAACCGUCAGCGGUCGGCAACAACCUUUACCAUGACAAUAUAAUUUGCUAAUAUUGAUUGUUUCCAAACAUUCAAUCUGUUCAUUAAUCGAAAGCAUUAUUGUUAUUCGUUGACGAUAAACUGAUAUUGUGAUCGACAAUGCUGUCGAACAUGUAUUGAAAAGAUUAUUUGUGCCGUUAUAUUUAAAAAAAAUAUUUUCAGAUAUUUUUUAUGUUGCCUCGGAAGUUGCUUCGAUAGUCUUAAUGUUGAAUUUAUUAAAAACAGACAUGAUGCAGUUCUUAUUUGCAAAUUGAUAACGUUAUUUUUCAGGUAAAUGUAUUAAUGCACAUGAUUUCUAUCGAAAACGAUGUGAAGUUUCAAGAACUUAUAUAACUGACAACGAAUAUACAUGUAUCUUUCUAAACAAUACGUGUUUGCAUUUUAGCUAUAGAAUAUAUAUGUUUUAUAGUACUAUUUUUUUUAUGUGGAAAAAGUUUAACCAAUGGUUAAAGUUAUAGUUACAUCAGCCGUUUUUCUGGUUAUACCGUAAUUCUCUUAUUCUCUGUAAACGCAUGUAUAAUUGUGUUAGUGCUCGUCGUUUAUAGCGUGAUUACGGUACUAUUUGAGUCGUGACUACUUCAUCGGUGUAUUUUAUGUAAGGUCCGCAUUCAUUCUGUAAGCUCAAUUUAUAUAAAAUGCCACAUGUAUAAUCAGCGUUUUCGUUGCUUUCGCCUGGGUAAAUGCAGCAAAACUAUGUGUAUUUCUGUUGAUGAAUUGAAUUUUCUUUACCUGUUGGUUUCGUUUAACCGAUGGACGUUUAUCUGCUCAUAGGUAUAGAUUUUCUUUUAAGAUGUCAAGUUGUCGUUGUCAAUACAUUAAUGCAUAGCCGUUUGGUUGUUAACGUCAAUAAAUAUAAUGACUGUUGUUCUCUUGAAUGUUUUGAUGCAAAUACUGUUUUGAUUGCUUGGAUGUAUUAAUAACACUAGUGUUCAUAUCAUUUAUAAUAUAUCGAUUAGAAUAUAUAUUUGAAACUGUUAGCAAUACAGUGUUGAACGUGACUGACAUAAACUUACUUCUAUAUUGAGACACGCAUGUAACUGUCGUCGAUUUCAUGUUUUUGUUUGCCAUGUCAAGAAUAAACGAUCAUAUGGAAAAUGUAUUCGCCUUUUACAAAAAGCCAAUUUUCAUAAUUAUUCUGUAAUUUUCUAUAUUUUCUUAGCGAUAAUUGACAAGUUU
Dreissena polymorpha is the source of this 7065-nucleotide long non-coding RNA. RefSeq lists it as uncharacterized. Lineage: Eukaryota; Metazoa; Mollusca; Bivalvia; Myida; Dreissenidae. The record is from RefSeq and is a predicted model, not a curated record. The transcript has 3 exons.